GAUGAUUUUUUGUGGAUUAUGCUUUUGUUGCUCCCUCUUUUGCUGAUGUCAAAAAGGGGGAGAAAUAUAUAUGAUAUCUUUGCUAUGCAGGAUGACUCGAUGUGACUUUAUGUGCCUAUGCUAUGGCAUAGUUAUUAUUAUAUUUGCAAAGGACAAGUUGACUAUUUGACAAGUUGACUUCAUUAUGUACUUCGUAUAUCUGUUAGAUAAUCCUUUACAGGUCCCAGUCGACUGCAUCUAAUGAGGG
Molecule: long non-coding RNA, 247 nt
Filed under: Nicotiana benthamiana
Lineage: Eukaryota; Viridiplantae; Streptophyta; Magnoliopsida; Solanales; Solanaceae
Description: long non-coding RNA (NBEN_LNC012523)
Source: RNAcentral